RNAcentral lists this ribosomal RNA (397 nucleotides) under uncultured bacterium. RNAcentral's name for it is "partial 16S ribosomal RNA". It matches the Rfam family "Bacterial small subunit ribosomal RNA", at positions 523 to 918 of the family's 1533-position model. The record is from RNAcentral.
AUACGUAGGGGGCGAGCGUUGUCCGGAAUGAUUGGGCGUAAAGGGCGCGUAGGCGGCCCGGUAAGUCUGGAGUGAAAGUCCUGUUUUUAAAAUGGGAAUUGCUUUGGAUACUGUCGGGCUUGAGUGCAGGAGAGGUAAGUGGAAUUCCCAGUGUAGCGGUGAAAUGCGUAGAGAUUGGGAGGAACACCAGUGGCGAAGGCGACUCACUGGACUGUAACUGACGCUGAGGCGCGAAAGUGUGGGGAGCAAACAGGAUUAGAUACCCUGGUAGUCCACACUGUAAACGAUGAAUGCUAGGUGUAGGGGGUAUCGACCCCUUCUGUGCCGCAGUCAACACAAUAAGCAUUCCGCCUGGGGAGUACGGCCGCAAGGUUGAAACUCAAAGGAAUUGACGGGG